GAUGAACGCUGGCGGCGUGCCUAAUACAUGCAAGUCGAGCGAACAGACGAGGAGCUUGCUCCUCUGACGUUAGCGGCGGACGGGUGAGUAACACGUGGAUAACCUACCUAUAAGACUGGGAUAACUUCGGGAAACCGGAGCUAAUACCGGAUAAUAUAUUGAACCGCAUGGUUCAAUAGUGAAAGACGGUUUUGCUGUCACUUAUAGAUGGAUCCGCGCCGCAUUAGCUAGUUGGUAAGGUAACGGCUUACCAAGGCAACGAUGCGUAGCCGACCUGAGAGGGUGAUCGGCCACACUGGAACUGAGACACGGACCAGACUACUACGGGAGGCAGCAGUAGGGAAUCUUCCGCAAUGGGCGAAAGCCUGACGGAGCAACGCCGCGUGAGUGAUGAAGGUCUUCGGAGCGUAAAACUCUGUUAUUAGGGAAGAACAAAUGUGUAAGUAACUAUGCACGUCUUGACGGUACCUAAUCAGAAAGCCACGGCUAACUACGUG
This 497-nucleotide ribosomal RNA is filed under the name uncultured bacterium. RNAcentral describes it as "partial 16S ribosomal RNA". It matches the Rfam family "Bacterial small subunit ribosomal RNA", at positions 28 to 507 of the family's 1533-position model. The record is from RNAcentral.